This 617-nucleotide long non-coding RNA is filed under the name Setaria italica (foxtail millet). RNAcentral's name for it is "long non-coding RNA (SITA_LNC005081)". The record is from RNAcentral. Lineage: Eukaryota; Viridiplantae; Streptophyta; Magnoliopsida; Poales; Poaceae.
GGGGGUAUACCGCGGGUCCGGUUGCAUUGCAAAAGGAACCACAAAUAUUCUGGUUCAGUUUACAGAAUGGAAGUGCAAGUCACCCUUGCACAGAAGCUUGGCACGCAGACCAGUUUGAGUUCUUAACUCAAUUAGCUUUGAUAGGCUGACAGCAUACAAAUUUCAUUCCGGCUAAUUCUAGAUAGACAACACAUCGGCCAUAGCCACACUACUUGUUUACUCAUGUCAGGUAAGUUCAAGUGCAGCCAUCCAGUGCACUGGCCACAUUCUCAGUUUCUCACUUUCUCAUUGAGAUGAACCUCCAGGCUCUAGGCCUUCUAUCAGCUCCCAGUCAGACAGAGCAUCUCUGGUCUUGAUGCCGCCGCCUCCGGCAGGGUGAUCGUCGCCUUGUACAGGUGCAGAUGGAGAAAUGGACAGAUUUGCUCCCAAUUCUUGAGCAUCACGAGCAUGGGACGCCACACCAGCUGCAAGCUCCGCCACCUACCAGGUGAUGUUAGGAUCAGGCAUUACCUGCCAUCUUCUGCAGGACAAUCAAGGCCUCACUGACCUGCCCAGCAACAACAAAUCCAUGAAUUAGUGCUCCAAAUGUAAUGUAACCACACCUGGAGUAUGCCCUC